GGAGGGUGCAAGCGUUGUUCGGAAUUACUGGGCGUAAAGCGCGUGUAGGCGGCCUUGCAAGCCAGACGUGAAAGCCCUCGGCUUACCGGGGAAGUGCGUCUGGAACUGCUCGGCUCGAGUACGGGAGAGGGAGGCGGAAUUCCAGUGUAGAGGUGAAAUUCGUAGAUAUUGGGAGGAACACCGGUGGCGAAAGCGGCCUCCUGGACCGAUACUGACGCUGAGACGCGAAAGCGGUGGGGAGCAAACAGGAUUAGAUCCCUUGGUAGUCCACGCGGUAAACGAUGGGCACUUAGGUGUGGGGGGAAUCCACUUCCUCCCGUGCCGCAGCUAACGCACUAAGUGCCCCGCCUGGGGAGUACGGCCGCAAGGUUA
This 372-nucleotide ribosomal RNA is filed under the name uncultured bacterium. RNAcentral describes it as "bacterial SSU rRNA". It matches the Rfam family "Bacterial small subunit ribosomal RNA", at positions 527 to 896 of the family's 1533-position model. The record is from RNAcentral.